CCUACGGGUGGCCGCAGUGAGGAAUAUUGGUCAAUGGACUAGAGUCUGAACCAGCCAAGUAUCGUGAAGGAUGACUGCCCUAUGAGUUGUAAACUUCUUUUAUCACGGAAUAAACAGAUGCACGUUGGCCUUUUUGCGUGUACUUGAUGAAUAAGGAUAGGUUAACACCGUGCAAGCAGCAGCGGUAACACGGAGGAUCCGAGAGUUAUCCGGAUUUAGUGGGUGUAAAGAGAGCGUAGAUGGGUUGUUAAUGCAGUUGAGAAAGUUUUCGGCUCAACCGUAAAAUUGCAAUUGAUACUGGCAGGCUUGAGUACAGUUGAGGUAGGCGGAAUUCGUGGUGGAGCGGUGAAAGGCUUAGAUAUCACGAAGAACCACGAUGGCGAAGGCAGCUUACUAAACUGUGACUGACAUUGAUGCUCGAAAGUGUGGGUAUCAAACAGGAUUAGAUACCCUUGUAGUC
Molecule: ribosomal RNA, 460 nt
Filed under: uncultured bacterium
Lineage: Bacteria
Description: partial 16S ribosomal RNA
Rfam family: Bacterial small subunit ribosomal RNA
Source: RNAcentral